AUACGGAGGGUGCAAGCGUUAAUCGGAAUUACUGGGCGUAAAGCGCACGUAGGCGGUCCGUUAAGUUAGAUGUUAAAGCCCCGUGCUUAACCUGGGAACUGCAUUUAAAACUGGCGGACUAGAGUUGAGUAGAGGGGAGUGGAAUUUCAGGUGUAGCGGUGAAAUGCGUAGAGAUCUGAAGGAACACCAGUGGCGAAGGCGACUCCCUGGACUCGAACUGACGCUGAGGUACGAAAGCGUGGGUAGCAAACGGGAUUAGAAACCCCAGUAGUCC
Molecule: ribosomal RNA, 274 nt
Filed under: uncultured bacterium
Lineage: Bacteria
Description: partial 16S ribosomal RNA
Rfam family: Bacterial small subunit ribosomal RNA
Source: RNAcentral